GCAACGCGAGCCAGAACGGCUUGGUUUCUUUUGGAAUCAAUUGGCUUUGUCGUUGCGAUGUUGUGUUUGCAAACUCGUAUUUCGAGUUAGGUAGUUUUCUACCGAAGUGUUUUGUCUACUAUCCCAAAGACAAAACAGAUACUUCCUGUAUUUAUUUUGACCUGUCUGUCAAAUUUCUUGCACCGCCUUUUAGGCGGUGUUUUUUUUA
RNAcentral lists this non-coding RNA (208 nucleotides) under Vibrio mytili. Its description in RNAcentral is "GcvB RNA". It matches the Rfam family "GcvB RNA". From Rfam's summary of the family: The gcvB gene encodes a small untranslated RNA involved in expression of the dipeptide and oligopeptide transport systems in Escherichia coli. The record is from RNAcentral. Lineage: Bacteria; Pseudomonadati; Pseudomonadota; Gammaproteobacteria; Vibrionales; Vibrionaceae.